CCUACGGGAGGCUGCAGUGAGGAAUAUUGGUCAAUGGGCGGGAGCCUGAACGAGCCAAGUAGCGUGCGGGAUGAAGGCCCUACGGGUCGUAAACCGCUUUUGCACGGGGAUAACACCCUCCACUUGUGGAUGUCUGCAGGUACCGUACGAAUAAGGGCCGGCUAAUUCCGUGCCAGCAGCCGCGGUAAUACGGAAGGCCCGAGCGUUAUCCGGAUUCAUUGGGCUUAAAGGGAGCGUAGGCGGGCGUUCAAGUCAGCUGUAAAAUCUCGCGGCUCAACCGCACCUCGCGGUUGAAACUGGACGUCUUGAGUUCACUACAGGCAGGCGGAAUUCGUGGUGUAGCGGUGAAAUGCAUAGAUAUCACGAGGAACCCCGAUUGCGAAGGCAGCCUGCCGGGGUGCGACUGACGUUGAGGCUCGAAGGUGUGGGUAUCAAACAGGAUUAGAUACCCUUGUAGUC
RNAcentral lists this ribosomal RNA (459 nucleotides) under uncultured bacterium. RNAcentral describes it as "partial 16S ribosomal RNA". It matches the Rfam family "Bacterial small subunit ribosomal RNA", at positions 338 to 795 of the family's 1533-position model. The record is from RNAcentral.